This 253-nucleotide ribosomal RNA is filed under the name uncultured bacterium. Its description in RNAcentral is "partial 16S ribosomal RNA". It matches the Rfam family "Bacterial small subunit ribosomal RNA", at positions 524 to 776 of the family's 1533-position model. The record is from RNAcentral.
UACGGAGGGUGCGAGCGUUGCUCGGAAUCAUUGGGCGUAAAGCGUACGCAGGCUGUCUCGUAAGUCGGGUGUGAAAGCCCGGGGCUCAACCCCGGAAUUGCGCCCGAGACUGCGGGGCUUGAAUGCGGGAGAGGGAAGCGGAAUUCCUGGUGUAGAGGUGAAAUUCGUAGAUAUCAGGAGGAACACCGGUGGCGAAAGCGGCUUCCUGGCCCGACAUUGACGCUCAUGUACGAGAGCGUGGGGAGCAAACAGG